Long non-coding RNA from Cataglyphis hispanica, 1392 nucleotides. RefSeq lists it as uncharacterized. The record is from RefSeq and is a predicted model, not a curated record. The transcript has 3 exons. NCBI's taxonomy places the organism in Eukaryota, Metazoa, Arthropoda, Insecta, Hymenoptera, Formicidae.
GCCCGCUGCGAGCCGCGUCGGCGAACCGCGAGCCGCGGACCCUAAAAGUGAAAGCGGAAUCGGUCUCCAUCAGUCGUGGUCGAUAUCGACAAGUGCAAGAAAGAAGCUUGAGAGAAAAAUAAGGAUUAAGCAAACGGACGGAGAGAUUUCUGCUAGAAGACAAAGCAGAUGAAAAUUAAAAAAUGUUGAUGUAACAGCUACUGCAGGAACAAAAAAAAGCAAACAAAUUGCAAGAAAAGCAGCAAUUUAUACUGCAGCAGUUGUUGCAAAAUCAGCAGAAGCAGCAGCAGCAGAAAAAGCAGCAGCAAAAGCAGCAGCAGCAAAAGCAGCAGCAGCAGCAAUUACAAGAACAACCACAGCAAUUUAAAAAUGAUCGAAGAGGCUGAGGUCGCGGGAAUUCGCGGGGUCGGUGAUAUCAACGCCACCAACUUAAUUAUAAUACAAAUGAAAGCGGAAGAGGAAGAGAAGGAAGAGGGGGAAAAGGAGGAAGAGGAAGAAGCCCUACAAUAAUAAAAAAUUAUUAUAUAGUGUUACAUCCGCCUUCUGUUUGUUCGUCCCUGCGUGUCACCUGUGCUGGUGUGCUGUACCGUCUUCGGGAGAUUUCUUGACGUGUCGCUAAGGAAGAUGUUUAUAACAACGGCUAACAUUUGGAUGUUUUAAGUCGCCAUCUUAGUCUCGCGGCGGAUUCGUUUCCGUGCGGACGUUUCCGCGAUUGAUCCCGUUCUCCUUUUGUAUCGAAUUUAUUUGUUCUGUGUUCUGUUCUUAUAUUAAAGUUCCUUCUGUUUUUUACAAUAAGUGUUGUUAUUUACGACGCGGAGCGUGUGUGCGAAUUGUGACGUGCGCGAUUCGAUAAAACUUGAAGUGGACGAGCGGACCCAAUAAUAUAUUAAAAAUUAUAGGUUAUAAAUUUAUUAGAUUAAUAUAACAUAAGAUAUAUUUAUUUUUAAUUUUUAUAUUUUUAUAUUUUUAUUUUUAUAUUUUUAUAUUUGUAUUUUUAUAUUUUUUAUUUUUAUUUUUAUAUUUUUAUAUUUUUAUUUUUAUAUUUUAAUUUUUAUUUUUAUGCAUUAUAUAUACACGCUUUUAUAUUUUAUUUUUUAUUUUCAUAUUUUUAUAUUUUUUAUUUUUUUAUUCUUACACAUUAUAUAUAUUAUAUACAUAUAUAAAGAUUGUCCCAUUUUAAAAGUUCCACCCUCAUAACUUUUCAGGAUCAACGUUUGAAGGAAAACGACUUGGAUAAAAGUUGUAGGGAACAAAGGGGGCUAUCUAAUAGUGACCUUGGAUUUGACAUUAAAGAUCAUUUUCAAGGUUAUUUGAACGUCAACUUCCGUUUUUUAAAUGGAAACCCAUCAUUUUUAUUGCAUAUUCUUGUAACUUAUCUCGAGAGCUUUCCAA